UGGCGCAAACAAUUCCAUUGCUGCAGAGAGACAUUCCACCAGAGCCAGAGACAGGGGUUAAAAGGCAGAAGCAACUUGAGGAUCGUGGGCUCUUUGCAUCACACCUUCGUGGUGUGUGCACUGAUCUCCCCAGCUGGUUUUGAAAUUGGCGUCUACGAACAGGAUCCGCUGCAGGUCGUCUGGACGGUGUGAUCAGGGACGAUAGUCCUGAAGACUAGGGUCGCUCAGCCUCCAAACCUCUACAGCUGUUCUGAGUGGGAGGACUGCUCACCCGUCUGGAUCGCCUCUGACGAGAUCCAACGAACACAAAAUCCAACUUCUACUCGGCCCGGUGAGAGAGAUUCCGUUUUGUUGCGACUUAUCGAAGAAAAAAAAAAAAAAAGAAAACGGGUUUGAAAUUGGUUUCAGGUAUUCCGGUUUACUUGGCUCUGAUCAUUUGGUUUAGGGAAAGUAAGGCAAAUAACAAUUAAUUCUAAAACAUCCCCUACUAGACUAAAACAUACAACGACAAAAGAAAACAUAAUUAGGACUAGAGACAAAAAUAUUUCUAACACGACUAGUUGGCUGAAAACGUACAAAAUAUAAUAUUAGGAAAAAAAAAUUUAAUUCUAAUUCUAAUUCUAAUAUUCGGGUAAAAAUUAAUCAGGUCAAAGUCUGCCCUGGUGGCCGAGACGGUGGUUGCUAAGGGUUGGCACGUGGGACCGAGCUUGUUUUGUCUGUACUGAGGAUACAGACCAGUGUGCAGAUCUGAGCGCAGUCCAAAGGGUGUGGACAGGAAAUAAAAGACGGCUUCUGUAAGACGGAGCGCGUUUGCAGGGGGAAGUGUUUUUGAGAUACGAGGGACCCGGGUCUUAGAGGGGCCUGACGGUGAGGGACCACUUCCGAGAACCCUGUCACUGAUCUGAGCGGUUCCCUUUCUACGGAGACGUCCGUGGAAGAGAAAUUUCGAAAAAAGGUUCCGGCCGGAACACAAAAAAGUAAAUAUGGUUAUUAGUGCGUUUCAUGUUUCCACGAGUGGGAAACUGGUUAUGGGUUCAAAAGGAGAAUCACUUAGUGUAAAAGACAUAUGCACCUUAAAAAGAAAAGUUAGAUACAAAAGAUGAGAUUUGAAAAAGCAAAACUAUCAAAACUAAAGCCCUAAAAGAAACAAAAGAGAGAUGAGAGUAACAGAAAAAAAAAAGGAGAUAACAACUCUGGGGAAGAAUUGUUUGCACUCUGCCACACACACACGUACACAUACACCACACACACACACAAGAGCAAAUGCUCCCAUUGUUUCUGCUCUCUAUUCUAAUGCAGAACCGAGCGCGAUGAGGGUAAAUCCGGAUCUGGACUCCUUUCCCACCAUCAGCAGAAGAACCGAAGGAGAAGAAGCGCCUGAUCAACAACCAGAACAGGGUGGAAGCUCUGACACCACAGCAGCUGGAGGACACAGACCACAGCAAGGACGCCUCACAGACUGCACAACGUCUGCAGCCAUCACGUUCUGGGCUCAUCAGAUGAACCAGCUACUACAAGCGUGUGUGUCUGACAGACACCUGCUUAUGACAAUCAGCAAAGGAAAACAAGGACAGAGCAACAGCAGAGGAGACGUGCUCUGACACAGACAUUGGUUGAAACAACAGGAGAGGCUUCAGACGUGAUCGGCCCAAUAGAGCUGCAUGUGAGGAUCCAGGAAAGGUCUGUCAUCGAGGAACAACUGUCCCAUCGAAAGGCUUCACCCGCUGGCGCUCACAUGAGACUGAUGGUUGGGGAAGGAGGAAGGUGACGGUUCCUUUUCACGUGACGUACAAGACGGUACCACAAACACACACACAUUCAUACACGCAACGAAGAAACACGCUUACAGCUGAUACACGCUCAAAUUCAUGUUCAUGCUUAUCUGCUCGCAAUGAAGAAUCGCUUUUUGCUUAAAAAAAUCCCACAGAGUGAUUUUCAAAUGAUGACAAACAGCUAAAUGACAACUGCUGCAUGACUUUACAGUCUGAUGGGUUCAAACUAUUUUAACUUGCAACAAAUUCAGUAAUAAAAUCCUUCAUGUUUCUAAAAAUAUUUGUGCACACUAUAGGUUUGUCUGGCCAGACUGUAGGAAAAACAAAACAGACUGUAGGAAAACAAAACAGACUAUAGGAAGACUGAGACUGACUGAAACAGACUAUUAAUGACUAUUAAAGGGAAGACGACUAUUAGAGAGAAGUAAUAAUAAUGACUGUACGUACCAGACUAUUAAAGAAAAACUUACUCUUUCACUGUCUUGUGCAACAUCUGACAGCAAGACACCUUAACAUUCAUUUUUGCUUUCAAACUUGUGCCCAGUUAAAUUUUUAGGAAGAGAUCGUGUGUAGUUUAGGUAUUUGAUUGAUUUCCACUCCAGACGGAGUGCAGGUCACGUCUACAGACAUUCUAAAUAAUCCCUCUUUUGUUGGUGUUAACUUCAGCUCAGCUGUGCUCUUAUCAUUGGCUGCUGAGGGGGGGCUGUAACUGAGGCCCUCACACAGGCUGCAUCACAGCUUGUUUAUGAUUUCACACACACACUGACAAACUGACCUCAACUUCCCUCUUUUGGGAUGAACACAGGUCUGCGCUUGCGAUUUCUCUUACUAACGAACAAAAAGAUUUUUGAUUUUUAUUCUACAGUUCCACACGUCCCUCUGUGAAAACAUGAUGGAGACAGACGCAGGACGUGGGUCCUUUCGUGAACAGAUGUCAACGGGGUGGAGACUGGUGAACGACUUCUGACCCCAUGUGACGUAUUCACCCACAUUACAUGCUUUUGUUUUUGCUUUUAUUUUUCAGAGGACGCUCUGACCCAACACUCAGCCUCACAGGAAGCACUGCUUCCCUGUGGCUCACACACAGACGUGAUGUAGGUUUGAUCAGAGGAUGUGAACCAGUGGUCAUCACACCUAGAUCUGACCACAGAUCAUGUAAACAACAACACCCUCUGUUAUGGGAAAAAUUGUCUCUUCCUUAUUUCUAUGUGUCUUCCUUACUUCUAUGCAGUUAUUAUAUGAUUUAUGACUUAUGUUCUGCAAUUAAUAUCUUAUGUUUUGUCUUACUGUAUGCAUUUGACAUUUCACCUAGAUUGUUCAAUGGUUGUCUCUGCCAGAAAGACUCUCAACUCUAGCUCCCAAACCCAAGGUCGGGGAGUUGUGUCUCUGUCUGUUGAGACUAGGUCCUCCUUUCUCACAGAUAGUUGGAUGUCAGCGAUGCAGGUGUGAGAAAGUGAAAAUCUUCACACACACUGCGACAGGGAGAAGAUGGUGCAUGUAAUUUGAUUGGGUUAGAAAGACAUUCCACCCUAGUCGGACAGAGAAGCUAAAAGGCAGAAGCAACUUGAGGAUCGUGGGCUCUUUGCAACACACCUUCGUGGUGUGUGCAAUGAUCUCCCCAGCUGGUUUUUGGUUUGUUGAUGUGCACGAUCAACAUCCAUGCUUUUUAUUUGCUUUCCCCAUUAUUUUUAUUUUCUUUAUUAUUUCAAUAAAUCGCACAAAAGGACAA
Long non-coding RNA from Betta splendens (Siamese fighting fish), 3501 nucleotides. RefSeq lists it as uncharacterized. The record is from RefSeq and is a predicted model, not a curated record. The transcript is spliced from 2 exons. NCBI's taxonomy places the organism in Eukaryota, Metazoa, Chordata, Actinopteri, Anabantiformes, Osphronemidae.